GACAGAGGGUGCAAACGUUGUUCGGAAUUACUGGGCGUAAAGCGCGUGUAGGCUGCUUCGCAAGUCGGAUGUGAAAGCCCUGGGCUCAACCCAGGAAGUGCAUUCGAAACUGCAGAGCUGGAGUCCUGGAGAGGAAGGUGGAAUGCUUGGUGUAGAGGUGAAAUUCGUAGAUAUCAAGCGGAACACCGGUGGCGAAGGCGGCCUUCUGGACAGUGACUGACGCUGAGACGCGAAAGCGUGGGGAGCAAACAGG
Molecule: ribosomal RNA, 253 nt
Filed under: uncultured bacterium
Lineage: Bacteria
Description: partial 16S ribosomal RNA
Rfam family: Bacterial small subunit ribosomal RNA
Source: RNAcentral